AAUAGUUGCAUGCUGUAGACCCGAAACCGUGUGAUCUAUCCAUGAGCAGGUUGAAGCCUGGGUAAAACCAGGUGGAGGACCGAACCAGUGUCUGUUGAAAAAGGCUUGGAUGACUUGUGGAUAGGGGUGAAAUUCCAAUCGAACACGGAGAUAGCUGGUUCUCCCCGAAAUAGCUUUAGGGCUAGCGUUUUGCGAAGACUACCGGAGGUAGAGCACUGAAUUGGGUAGGGGGCUAAAAGUCUACCGAACCAUAUCAAACUCCGAAUGCCGGCUAGUCAUGCAAGGCAGUCAGACUGUGUGAGAUAAGUCUCAUAGUCGAAAGGGAAACAGCCCAGACCAUCCGCUAAGGUCCCCAAGUACUGAUUAAGUGGGAAAGGAUGUGUCACUGCACAAACAACCAGGAUGUUGGCUUAGAAGCAGCCAUACAUUUAAAGAGUGCGUAAUAGCUCACUGGUCGAGUGGUGGUGCGCCGAAAAUGAACGGGGCUCAAAUCAGGCACCGAAGCGAUGGAUUAUGGUAACUACCAUAGUGGUAGGGGAGCAAUCCCUGUGGAGCGAAGCUGCAUUGUAAGGUGUGGUGGACUGCAGGGAAGAGAGAAUGUUGGCAUGAGUAGCGAAAGUGAAGUGAGAAUCUUCACCAUCGAAAGCCCAAGGUUUCCUGAGGAAGGCUCGUCCGCUCAGGGUAAGUCGGGGCCUAAGCCGAGGCCGGAAGGCGUAGGCGAUGGACAACUGGUUGAAAUUCCAGUACUAGCGUGAUGCGCUAUAAGAGAAGGAGUGACACAGAAGGGCAAGCGAACCCGGGCGAUGGUAGACCCGGGCCAAGCAGUGAGGCUGAUCGAGGAGGCAAAUCCCCUUGGUCAUAAGGCUGGGCUGUGAUGGGGAACGAAAAACAAGUAGGGAAGUCGCCGCACUCACACUGUCAAGAAAAGCUUCUAUCAAGUAUCAUGCUACCCGUACCGUAAACCGACACAGGUAGGCGAGGAGAGAAUCCUAAGAUGAGCGGGAGAAGUGUUGUUAAGGAACUCGGCAAAAUGACUCCGUAACUUCGGGAGAAGGAGUGCCUCG
This 1064-nucleotide ribosomal RNA is filed under the name Eubacterium aggregans. RNAcentral's name for it is "Bacterial large subunit ribosomal RNA". It matches the Rfam family "Bacterial large subunit ribosomal RNA", at positions 695 to 1755 of the family's 2925-position model. The record is from Rfam by way of RNAcentral. Lineage: Bacteria; Bacillati; Bacillota; Clostridia; Eubacteriales; Eubacteriaceae.